ACGAAAAGGUAACCAAGUGCUGAAUCGUUUAAGUUUAACGUACUGACGGAGAAAAAAAAACCCAAAAAAUUAUCAAACUUACAUAUUGGUUCCGUAUCACGGGAUUGCGGCUCACCAUCAGCUCCAAUCGAUCGAUAUCUUCUUUACAGCCCCUUCGAGCUGCCUUUUCCGAUCGAAGCGUUCCUUUCGUUUGGCCAACAGCAGAUAUUUGUACCGCUGAUAGUAGCGGGCAUUGUUGAGGUGCAGCUUGGCUUUCUGGACCGCUCGCAUCAGCUCGUGCUUCAACAUGUCAGUCGUAAUACCGUGACCCAGCCAGGCAUC
Uranotaenia lowii is the source of this 321-nucleotide long non-coding RNA. RefSeq lists it as uncharacterized. Lineage: Eukaryota; Metazoa; Arthropoda; Insecta; Diptera; Culicidae. The transcript has 2 exons. The record is from RefSeq and is a predicted model, not a curated record.